UUGAUUGGUGCUUGCAUCAUGAUUUACAUUUGAGUGAGUGGCGAACUGGUGAGUAACACGUGGGAAACCUGCCCAGAAGCGGGGGAUAACACCUGGAAACAGAUGCUAAUACCGCAUAACAACUUGGACCGCAUGGUCCGAGCUUGAAAGAUGGCUUCGGCUAUCACUUUUGGAUGGUCCCGCGGCGUAUUAGCUAGAUGGUGGGGUAACGGCUCACCAUGGCAAUGAUACGUAGCCGACCUGAGAGGGUAAUCGGCCACAUUGGGACUGAGACACGGCCCAAACUCCUACGGGAGGCAGCAGUAGGGAAUCUUCCACAAUGGACGAAAGUCUGAUGGAGCAACGCCGCGUGAGUGAAGAAGGGUUUCGGCUCGUAAAACUCUGUUGUUAAAGAAGAACAUAUCUGAGAGUAACUGUUCAGGUAUUGACGGUAUUUAACCAGAAAGCCACGGCUAACUACGUGCCAGCAGCCGCGGUAAUACGUAGGUGGCAAGCGUUGUCCGGAUUUAUUGGGCGUAAAGCGAGCGCAGGCGGUUUUUUAAGUCUGAUGUGAAAGCCUUCGGCUCAACCGAAGAAGUGCAUCGGAAACUGG
RNAcentral lists this ribosomal RNA (592 nucleotides) under Lactiplantibacillus plantarum. RNAcentral describes it as "bacterial SSU rRNA". It matches the Rfam family "Bacterial small subunit ribosomal RNA", at positions 69 to 636 of the family's 1533-position model. The record is from RNAcentral. Lineage: Bacteria; Bacillati; Bacillota; Bacilli; Lactobacillales; Lactobacillaceae.